CUGCCAAAGUUCCUAUAUUAAGCACUAUAUUCAAUUCAUGUGCAGGAGGACUCAUGUUCAAGCUACCUCAAAGCAAUCUACAGUAUGUGACAUCCAUAACAUUCCUCCUUACAACCUAUUCCAAGUAUAUGGCAGCUAAAAAGUACCCAUUUAACUGCGGCAAUGUUUUAGGCACUCCAAACACCUUAAGAAGCGUAACGGAAAGACAGGUAAGCCUCAUUAUUUCGUCCUUUUGGAGUUCAAUUUACCAUGUUUUUGUCUUCAUUUGGUUCUCAGGAAACAGUAUGUCUUGAAAAGUGAUGUUCCAGGCUAAUGUCUAAGAUCUAGGUGCAAUCCAUUGACCAAAGUAAAUAGAUCUUUUCUUUCUAAGAGUUCCAUAUCUAAGUUUGAUUGGUGGUUCAUGGACUUCUCAUUCUCAAGAAAUCCAGCAGGGAUCAAUCAAGGACUACAUUUGAACCAAGUUACAACAAGAAAGCUGAUUUUGAAAAUAUCCUCUGCAAGAUGGAUACACAUAGGAGACUUUACAAGACUACAAAAAAGAGGGGAAGUCUUUUCAAAACUCUUCACAAGAACAAUCAGACAUUAGACAUAAGAAGGAUGUCUAAGGAUGGCUCUUGAUGUUGUGUGUUUCCUCUUUCUUAUUUACCGGCAAUCAAAUGAAUUGGUGUCUGAAUUUUGAGAGAUUGUUUCGAUUUCGUUAUAUUUCCUCACUACUACAUUUUGGUGGAGAGAGAUGGAUCGUAUUGAUUGAUGAUGAAAAGAGAUAAUUCCAAAAGAGAACAACGUCAUGUCCAAAGCAGUAUCAUAAUCUUGAAGGUGCGGAAGGGGAGGUCAAGCAGCACGUUGCGUUAUGGAAGGACCUUGCUACAUUCCUUAACUCCACGGACCUGAAGGGUUGUUACAAUAGCAUACAAAGAACCAGAAUUUUGAAGUCAUGAAUCAUGACGAGACAAUGUGUGUUUCAAAGGAAGAGGUUCUUAUUUGAAGAGAAUUCAAGCAAAAACUAUAGGAAGAAAAUAGUUUUAGAAAAUGGUUGGAGUUCAGCGCAUGGGAGAAUUUAUUUGUACUGUUAACUAUAUGAGUUAAUUUUAAU
Lotus japonicus is the source of this 1093-nucleotide RNA transcript. RefSeq lists it as uncharacterized. The transcript is spliced from 6 exons. The record is from RefSeq and is a predicted model, not a curated record. NCBI's taxonomy places the organism in Eukaryota, Viridiplantae, Streptophyta, Magnoliopsida, Fabales, Fabaceae.